RNAcentral lists this ribosomal RNA (481 nucleotides) under uncultured bacterium. RNAcentral's name for it is "SSU rRNA". It matches the Rfam family "Bacterial small subunit ribosomal RNA", at positions 26 to 523 of the family's 1533-position model. The record is from RNAcentral.
AGGACGAACGCUGGCGGCGUGCUUAACACAUGCAAGUCGAACGAUGAAGCCAGCUUGCUGGUGGAUUAGUGGCGAACGGGUGAGUAACACGUGGGCAACCUGCCCCUAGCUCUGGGAUAAGCCCGGGAAACCGGGUCUAAUACUGGAUAUGAGACUGGAUCGCAUGGUCUGGUUUGGAAAGUUUUUCGGCUAGGGAUGGGCCCGCGGCCUAUCAGCUUGUUGGUGGGGUAAUGGCCUACCAAGGCGACGACGGGUAGCCGGCCUGAGAGGGCGACCGGCCACACUGGGACUGAGACACGGCCCAGACUCCUACGGGAGGCAGCAGUGGGGAAUAUUGCACAAUGGGCGAAAGCCUGAUGCAGCGACGCCGCGUGAGGGAUGACGGCCUUCGGGUUGUAAACCUCUUUCAGUAGGGACGAAGCGAGAGUGACGGUACCUACAGAAGAAGCACCGGCCAACUACGUGCUAGCAGCCGCGGUAA